RNAcentral lists this non-coding RNA (21 nucleotides) under Caenorhabditis elegans. Lineage: Eukaryota; Metazoa; Nematoda; Chromadorea; Rhabditida; Rhabditidae. The record is from RNAcentral.
UCCACUCUUUUCCUGCCUUUU